GACGAACGCUGGCGGCGUGCUUAACACAUGCAAGUCGAACGGAAAGGCCCCCACUUUUUUGGUGGGGGUGCUCGAGUGGCGAACGGGUGAGUAACACGUGGGUGAUCUGCCCUGUACUUCGGGAUAAGCUUGGGAAACUGGGUCUAAUACCGGAUAGGACCAUGGUUUAGUGUCUCAUGGUGGAAAAAUUAUUGUUUUGGUGCAGGAUGAGCUCGCGGCCUAUCAGCUUGUUGGUGGGGUAAUGGCCUACCAAGGCGUCGACGGGUAGCCGGCCUGAGAGGGUGGACGGCCGCAUUGGGACUGAGAUACGGCCCAGACUCCUACGGGAGGCAGCAGUGGGGAAUAUUGCACAAUGGGCGCAAGCCUGAUGCAGCGACGCCGCGUGGGGGAUGACGGCCUUCGGGUUGUAAACUCCUUUCGUUAGGGACGAAGCCGCACCUUUUUUGGGUGUGGUGACGGUACCUUUGUUAAGAAGCACCGGCUAACUACGUG
Molecule: ribosomal RNA, 492 nt
Filed under: uncultured bacterium
Lineage: Bacteria
Description: partial 16S ribosomal RNA
Rfam family: Bacterial small subunit ribosomal RNA
Source: RNAcentral